Molecule: ribosomal RNA, 495 nt
Filed under: uncultured bacterium
Lineage: Bacteria
Description: partial 16S ribosomal RNA
Rfam family: Bacterial small subunit ribosomal RNA
Source: RNAcentral
GACGAACGCUGGCGGCGUGCCUAAUACAUGCAAGUAGAACGCUGAAGGAGGAGCUUGCUUCUCCGGAUGAGUUGCGAACGGGUGAGUAACGCGUAGGUAACCUGCCUGGUAGCGGGGGAUAACUAUUGGAAACGAUAGCUAAUACCGCAUAACAGUAGAUGUUGCAUGACAUUUGCUUAAAAGGUGCAAUUGCAUCACUACCAGAUGGACCUGCGUUGUAUUAGCUAGUUGGUGGGGUAACGGCUCACCAAGGCGACGAUACAUAGCCGACCUGAGAGGGUGAUCGGCCACACUGGGACUGAGACACGGCCCAGACUCCUACGGGAGGCAGCAGUAGGGAAUCUUCGGCAAUGGACGGAAGUCUGACCGAGCAACGCCGCGUGAGUGAAGAAGGUUUUCGGAUCGUAAAGCUCGGUUGUAAGAGAAGAACGAGUGUGAGAGUGGAAAGUUCACACUGUGACGGUAGCUUACCAGAAAGGGACGGCUAACUACGUG